This 373-nucleotide ribosomal RNA is filed under the name uncultured bacterium. RNAcentral's name for it is "bacterial SSU rRNA". It matches the Rfam family "Bacterial small subunit ribosomal RNA", at positions 523 to 898 of the family's 1533-position model. The record is from RNAcentral.
ACACGUAGGGGGCGAGCGUUGUCCGGAUUUAUUGGGUUUAAAGGGUGCGUAGGCGGAAUGAUAAGUCAGUGGUGAAAGUUUUCGGCUCAACCGGAAAAUUGCCGUUGAUACUGUCAUUCUGGAAUAUGGUUGCUGUGGGCAGAAUGUGUGGUGUAGCGGUGAAAUGCAUAGAUAUCACACAGAAUACCGAUUGCGAAGGCCGCUCACAAAACCAAUAUUGACGCUGAGGCACGAAAGUGUGGGGAUCAAACAGGAUUAGAUACCCUGGUAGUCCACACUGUAAACGAUGAUAACUAGCUGUUGGUGAUACACAAUCAGUGGCUAAGCGAAAGCGAUAAGUUAUCCACCUGGGGAGUACGACCGCAAGGUUGAA